UGGCUCAGGACGAACGCUGGCGGCACGCUUAACACAUGCAAGUCGAACGGAGAUAUUUUGGUUUACUGAGAUAUCUUAGUGGCGGACGGGUGAGUAACACGUGAGCAACCUACCUUAGAGAGAGGGAUAGCUUCUGGAAACGGAUGGUAAUACCUCAUAACAUAACUGAACCGCAUGAUUUAGUUAUCAAAGAUUUAUCACUCUGAGAUGGGCUCGCGUCUGAUUAGAUAGUUGGUGAGGUAACGGCUCACCAAGUCGACGAUCAGUAGCCGGACUGAGAGGUUGAACGGCCACAUUGGGACUGAGACACGGCCCAGACUCCUACGGGAGGCAGCAGUGGGGAAUAUUGCACAAUGGGGGAAACCCUGAUGCAGCGAUGCCGCGUGGAGGAAGAAGGUUUUCGGAUUGUAAACUCCUGUCUUAAAGGACGAUAAUGACGGUACUUUAGGAGA
RNAcentral lists this ribosomal RNA (452 nucleotides) under uncultured Ruminococcus sp. RNAcentral describes it as "bacterial SSU rRNA". It matches the Rfam family "Bacterial small subunit ribosomal RNA", at positions 20 to 487 of the family's 1533-position model. The record is from RNAcentral. Lineage: Bacteria; Bacillati; Bacillota; Clostridia; Eubacteriales; Oscillospiraceae.